RNAcentral lists this ribosomal RNA (254 nucleotides) under uncultured bacterium. Its description in RNAcentral is "partial 16S ribosomal RNA". It matches the Rfam family "Bacterial small subunit ribosomal RNA", at positions 524 to 776 of the family's 1533-position model. The record is from RNAcentral.
GACGUAGGGCGCGAGCGUUGUCCGGAUUUAUUGGGCGUAAAGAGCUCGUAGGCGGCUUGUCGCGUCGUCCGUGAAAACCAGGGGCUCAACCCCUGGCUUGCGGUCGAUACGGGCAGGCUAGAGUUCGGUAGGGGAGACUGGAAUCCUGGUGUAGCGGUGAAAUGCGCAGAUAUCAGGAGGAACACCGGUGGCGAAGGCGGGUCUCUGGGCCGAUGACUGACGCUCAUGUGCGAAAGCGUGGGGAGCAAAACAGG